GACGAACGCUGGCGGCGUGCUUAACACAUGCAAGUCGAGCGGUAAGGCCCUUUCGGGGGUACACGAGCGGCGAACGGGUGAGUAACACGUGGGUGACCUGCCCUCAGCUCUGGGAUAAGCCUGGGAAACCGGGUCUAAUACUGGAUAUGACUCCAUGACGCAUGUUGUGGGGUGGAAAGCCUUGUGCGGCUGAGGAUGGGCCCGCGGCCUAUCAGCUUGUUGGUGGGGUGAUGGCCUACCAAGGCGACGACGGGUAGCCGGCCUGAGAGGGCGACCGGCACACUGGGACUGAGACACGGCCCAGACUCCUACGGGAGGCAG
This 321-nucleotide ribosomal RNA is filed under the name uncultured bacterium. RNAcentral describes it as "bacterial SSU rRNA". It matches the Rfam family "Bacterial small subunit ribosomal RNA", at positions 28 to 351 of the family's 1533-position model. The record is from RNAcentral.